Saccostrea cuccullata (small rock oyster) is the source of this 700-nucleotide long non-coding RNA. RefSeq lists it as uncharacterized. NCBI's taxonomy places the organism in Eukaryota, Metazoa, Mollusca, Bivalvia, Ostreida, Ostreidae. The transcript has 3 exons. The record is from RefSeq and is a predicted model, not a curated record.
AUCUAACGAAGUACAACUUGUGGAUAAUGGAUGUUGACAUGAUGAUGCAAGCUCGCCAGUGUUUAAAAACGUAAGACGAUCUGCAAGAUCAUGGUAUGAAACUAAAAUGUAAACAAAAAUAUGGUCACGAGCUGAUGUUACAACCUCAAAGGGAGGAGAAGUGGACCACAAUAAGGAACUGAGACUAAAUGCUGGCCUGUGAAAAGUUAACAUGCAGGAGAUACAGAGAAGGGGAAGCAGCUUCACUCAUCCAAAGUCAGGUUUGUUGGUUCGGUAGGGGGCAUUGUGUGUAACUAAUCAUGUAAUAUACUUUUUAAUUCCAUACCCAAAGGUAGAGUUAAAGCACGCAUACUGUGAAAUAUAAUAAUUUCUUUACCUAUGUCCUUUUCUCCUUUUGCAGUUCAUUAACUCAAUAAGAAAAUAAGAAUGAAAUUUAUCACAAGUCUGUAUAUUUAAAAAAUAAGUUUGAAAUCAUUUUUGAAACAGCAAGGGGGCAAAUAUUGUAAUUCACAUACAAGCAUCCUCAUAAAGUGUAGAUUUAAGUUUGCAUGGAUCUGCAAACAGGAGUUCAAACCAAGAAUUAUAUUCAUUACUUUCAGUGAUACAUGUAGCACCCAAAACAGAACUUGUCUUAGAUAUUCUUAUGAUAAAUCUGUAUACCAAAUUUAGAUCAUUUCAGUAACUGCAACAGUUGUGAAGA